This is a transfer RNA of Cavia porcellus (domestic guinea pig), 64 nucleotides long. It matches the Rfam family "tRNA". From Rfam's summary of the family: Transfer RNA (tRNA) molecules are approximately 80 nucleotides in length. Their secondary structure includes four short double-helical elements and three loops (D, anti-codon, and T loops). Further hydrogen bonds mediate the characteristic L-shaped molecular structure. tRNAs have two regions of fundamental functional importance: the anti-codon, which is responsible for specific mRNA codon recognition, and the 3' end, to which the tRNAs corresponding amino acid is attached (by aminoacyl-tRNA synthetases). tRNAs cope with the degeneracy of the genetic code in two manners: having more than one tRNA (with a specific anti-codon) for a particular amino acid; and 'wobble' base-pairing, i.e. permitting non-standard base-pairing at the 3rd anti-codon position. The record is from Rfam. Lineage: Eukaryota; Metazoa; Chordata; Mammalia; Rodentia; Caviidae.
GGGGAUUUAGCUCAGUGGCAUAAGCACCUGCCUUGCAAGCCGGCGGUCAUGACUUCAAUCCCCG